CAUGUCCAUCCAUACACGUGUGUCCGAGCGGAGGAGAAAGUCGGCUCUGCUGAUAUCGCUCCUAAACGUGGGCCAUUAUCCUCUCAAACACAGGCACGCCCGACUCUUAUCUCCGCACCUGAGUGACUAGGGCGAUGACAGCUCCAGCAGCUGACAGCACGACUCGGCCACAUCGCAUCAGAUAAGCACUAUAGACCAUCCCGAGGCAGGCAGCAGAGAAAGGUGGUUCAGAUGGACCACAAACUGGAGAGUGUCCUGAAGAUCCUGAUGGAACAGUUCCAACUCGAACCAGAGCUGCUUCAGAAACCAAGCCACUGCAGCUCCCGCUUAAUGAAACGCCAGAGUGGCAGCAUGAAGAAAGGACAAUGAGAGCAACAGAAAGCAGGCAAGAUUGGAAGACAUCUUUUAAUAAGGAAUGUGGAAACUGUAAUGUCCAUAUGGAAACUUGAUAAUAAACCGGCCAAGCUAGCAAGAGAGUUUCGCUUCCAAUGUGUCUUCCAAAGACAACAUGCAAUGUGUUCAACACUUUACUAGCUUGCAGCAUAGGGAAGUCAUUCAGAGUUCCCUCCUUAUUUGAUUUCCAUCACUUUAGUUAUUAAAGAUGGAUAGCUGAAAAUCCUGCUAUUUUGGAAGAAGAAAAAUCUCUGAUUCAAAAUAUGCUACAUGGACUCAUGUCAAGAGAACGAUUGUGAUCUUAAACUACUGCAGCACAAGGGGAGAGUGAUAGAGUUUAUUCAUCCCACAUGUUAAUGUGCACGUUAGUAAGUGUGAACACGUUUUGCAUGAGUUAGAUUCACCACUGAUAAAUAGAUAUGGCAGAGAUAAUCAAAACAGCGAAACGCUGCUGAUGGGGUUUAAUGGACUUAAAUGGAAUGUAAGAAAGGAAGAGGGAGAGCUGUUUGAGGUUGUGGACUCAGUAAGCAGUGCCAAGGCUUUCAACAGCCUAUUCAUUUUACAAUUUCACCGGAUUACUCCCAUUAAGUAUGUGAUUAUUUUUUCUCGCUCUAGCUAUUUGAAUGCAAAACUUCUGGUAAAGGUGAGGUGGCUAGAUGCCAGAUGCCAGCAUUUGAUGAAAGGAAAAUACAGUAAAAAGUAGAUUUGCUUUCAGUAACCGCAAGCAGAAAUAACAGAGUGAGGGAGAACAGAGAGAUAAGGUGCUUGCACUCCAUUCACAAGUCACGCUCAUCUGUUGGCACCUUGCCUGGCACAGAACAAAUAGGUCUGUGGUUUUGCUUUUUAAUGUGUUAAUUAAACAUGUUCUUUUAUCACAG
Molecule: long non-coding RNA, 1271 nt
Organism: Ictalurus punctatus (channel catfish)
Lineage: Eukaryota; Metazoa; Chordata; Actinopteri; Siluriformes; Ictaluridae
Source: Ensembl